Phrynosoma platyrhinos (Desert horned lizard) is the source of this 73-nucleotide non-coding RNA. NCBI's taxonomy places the organism in Eukaryota, Metazoa, Chordata, Lepidosauria, Squamata, Phrynosomatidae. The record is from the annotation of a GenBank genome assembly.
UCCAGUGUGGCAUAGUGGUCUGUGUGCUGGACUUAGAUUCCAGGAGACCAGGGUUCAAAUGUUGGAGUUGGUG